AGAGUUUGAUCAUGGCUCAGGAUGAACGCUGGCGGUAUGCUUAACACAUGCAAGUCGAACGGGGGACUUCGGUCCCUAGUGGCGGACGGGUGAGUAACGCGUGAGAACAUGCCUAUCGAUUGGGGACAACAGUUGGAAACGACUGCUAAUACCGAAUGUGCCUACGGGUGAAAGAUUUAUCGUCGAUAGAUUGGCUCGCGUCAGAUUAGCUAGUUGGUAGGGUAACGGCUUACCAAGGCGACGAUCUGUAACUGGUCUGAGAGGAUGACCAGUCACACUGGAACUGAGACACGGUCCAGACUCCUACGGGAGGCAGCAGUGGGGAAUUUUCCGCAAUGGGCGAAAGCCUGACGGAGCAAUACCGCGUGUGGGAGGACGCUUUUUGGAGUGUAAACCACUUUUAUUAGGGAAGAGAAUGACGGUACCUAAUGAAUCAGCAUCGGCUAACUCCGUGCCAGCAGCCGCGGUAAUACGGGGGAUGCAAGCGUUAUCCGGAAUUAUUGGGCGUAAAGCGUCCGUAGGUGGCUCAUCAAGUCUGUUGUCAAAGCGUGCGGCUUAACCGCAUACGGGCGAUGGAAACUGAUGAGCUAGAGUGCGAUAGGGGUCAGGGGAAUUCCCGGUGUAGCGGUGAAAUGCGUAGAUAUCGGGAAGAACACCAGUGGCGAAAGCGCCUGACUGGGUCUGCACUGACACUGAGGGACGAAAGCUAGGGGAGCGAAAGGGAUUAGAUACCCCUGUAGUCCUAGCCGUAAACGAUGACAACUAGGUGUGGUUCGAUCGACGAGCCGUGCCGUANCCAACGCGUUAAGUUGUCCGCCUGGGGAGUACGCACGCAAGUGUGAA
Molecule: ribosomal RNA, 843 nt
Filed under: uncultured bacterium
Lineage: Bacteria
Description: bacterial SSU rRNA
Rfam family: Bacterial small subunit ribosomal RNA
Source: RNAcentral